Molecule: non-coding RNA, 4111 nt
Organism: Microcebus murinus (gray mouse lemur)
Lineage: Eukaryota; Metazoa; Chordata; Mammalia; Primates; Cheirogaleidae
Source: RefSeq, a predicted model, not a curated record
GCGUGUGCUCCCAGGAUUCCCUCUUGAUUCCUCCGCAGUGUUUUGAGCAAAUCACUUUACCUGGUUUCCAGCAGCCGAGCUGGCGCCACGGAAACCUGCCACCUACGCCUGACACAUGUCCGGAUUGCCGAGUGAGCUUCCGUAAACAUCAGCCACAUCCCACUGUGCCGGACGCGUCACCGUCUUUGUUUCCGCCGUCGAGCGUGACCCCAAGAGCUUGCGUGGGGUCCACGCUCCCUGACGCACAGACAUCCCUGUUUUGUCAGUUCCUUUCUGUUCCCUGAAGCCCUUCACCCACGGAAUCAUUUUUAGGGUUUGCUCUUCAAAAUCUUUUCCAAUGUCUGAUUCACCUCAGUGUUGGUGGCAAUUGUCUUUUCUGGUUCAAUUUGUGCUUUUCCUGAUUCUUGGUGUGACAGGUGUUUUUUGUUGCUCUGGAUCCUGCCUGUGGGGACAGGAAACCCUGGGUCAUGUUUAAACCUUUCGUUCAGCAGGGUUCUGGCCUAGGCCUGGGACCAGGCUUCGAUGUGGCAGCCACAUUUCAGAGCCGGGGGGAACAUCAGUCUGCUUGGUGGAUCCAGUGCCAUUUGAGCUCCUGCUGGUGCCUUCUGGGGCAGAGGGUCCUCACUCCCACCUGCACCUGGGUCUCCUGGCAGGGAGGGGCUGGGCCCUGGGCCGUGGCCAGCUCCGUGGCUAGCUCGUGGCUACCGCUUCACUGGCCGUUGGCUGCUGGCGGGGCUCCGGCCGACCCCAAGCUGCUGUGGCGGGUCCUCCAGCAUGCCAGGACACGGGCGCAGGGGGAGGCCGAGCACCAUGACACUGGUGCACACCUGGGGCACAGCCCUGGCCCUGGGGCUGAGCGAGGAGGGUGGACGGCGCCCAGCCCGGUCUCAGCCUCUGCUGCCUCAGGCUCCACCAGAGCAGGGACAAGCCCACACGGCCAGGCCAGGCCUUGUGUCCCUCCUCUGCAGCCCCGCACAGGGCAGGCUCUGAGCCAUGUGCUGCUCCAGGCCUGAGGUCCCUGACACAUCCAUCUCCCUCCUCCUUCUCCGUGGCUGCCUCAGGCUCUGCUCUUUCCGGGGUUUGUGGUUGUGCUUAGUGGGGGAGGGAGCGUCGCGGGGGGUGCCUCCUCGGGACUGGAAGUGGGGCGUGCGCUGCUGAGCCGUCCUAAUCCUGUUUGCAGCGAGGUGGGGGACGCGUGAGCGCCUGCAGGUGAGGCCGGGCAGGUGGCAGCUGGAUCCUGGGCCCCCGUGGGUCUCGAUGCUCGGCCUCCGUCUCAGGAGGACCGGGACCCUCCCAGUUGACCACAGACGGGCUUGGCUGCCGCCUCCUUCCCAGGAGCCGCGGCACCAGCCCAGCCUGUGCACCCUUCACUCCGACGCCCACAUCACCUCACAGGCGUUUCCCGGUAAAACAAGAAUCCUCGUGUCCAGCCCUGCCCAGCACCUGGGCGGACGCCACCCCGACCAUCUGUGCCUGCUGGCGUCACAGCAACGGGGAAAGGGGUCUGUGUGCAGGGGCUCGUCCCAGCGGGAGGGCAGCGGGCACAGGUGAGCGGUUUUGGCAGCUACUUCCCUUCUUGCCGGACGUUGUGCCAGUGCUGUGGCGGGUCCUCCAGCACGCCAGGACACGGGCACAGGGGGAGGCCGAGCACCAUGACACUGGUGCACACCUGGGGCACAGCCCUGGCCCCGGGGCUGAGCGAGGAGAGUGGACGGCACCCAGCCCGGUCUCAGCCUCUGCUGCCAGCUCCCCAGCUGCACGUCACCCCCGAGGGGCCUGCGGUCCCCAGAGCGCCCACUCGGCCACCCACAAGCGCAGCUGAAGGUUUUCACGCCCGGUGGUGCGCGAAGGCACACUCCAAGCCCUUGGUCCCCUCCUCUUCCUGGAGACCGUGGGACCAGACCUCCCGUCUGGGUGCCUCCCAGAACACGCAGGUUGGGUUUCCCGUGCUUGGAGAGCGGCCAGCGGCUGCCUGCGCCAGGCCUGUGCAGGGCCGGGGCACAAUGGCGGCUCUGUCGGCGGCCCGGGCGGGGCCCUGCGGCUCCAUGGGGGUCUGGCCCAGACUUGGCCUAGGCAGGAGACGUUGGCAGCUGGGGCGUGAGCGGAGCGGUCAGGGCGCACAGCCCUCGCACAGCGUGGACAGCAGGUGGUGCGGCCACCCAACCCCUGUGGACCUGGGAGGCCACAGCACCCCCCCCCCAGAAGGGACCUGGAAGGCUGGCGCUUGGCCAGCUCGCUGGUAACAGACGCCAGGAGAGGGCAGGGUGUCUGGGCGGUGUUGGAUCUGUCAGGAGUCCGGGCACAUGACACUUGGCACACUCCCCCAAUUAUUGCCUGGAUUCUGCACGCUACCCGCCGUGUGGGCGCACGGCGUCGUAAUGGAACCUACCACCAGAGUCUCUGCCGCUAAUUAGCCGGGUGACCUGCAGCAACUUCCCUGGGUCUCAGUUUCUCUGUCCCUAAGGGUAGGGCUGGUGAAGUGAUGGCCCCGCAGAGACAUGAGCCUGGGAGGGGCUCAGAUGCAGGGACCCACCGCCCCACCGUCCACCCACGAGGAGGGAAUGCAGGACAGACUGCCACACUGGUGCCCAGCAGAUGACGUCGGUCGGUCCCGCAGAACGCAGGGCAGAGGCGUCAGCCCCGUGUGGGGGCUGGUGAGGAACGAGAGCCCAGAGGUGCAGAACCAGCCCUCCCCCAGCUGGCCCGACCGGCACCCGGGCCUGGACCAGGCUCUGGAGAGGAGGGGCCGGGAGCCCCGACAGCCUCGCCCCCGCCGCUGGCCGCUCACGACCUCGGCUCUGCCCUCAUCAGGGGCCUCUUCGGCCCGUCCCUGACCUCCCUGCACAGGCCUGGGCGGGGCCGAGCAGGGCCGGGGAGCCACACACCCCACCAUGCUCAGGGGUCUGCAGGGCCCACCGCGCCCCCGAGCUUCACUGAGCACCUUUCUGGUUCAGAGUCGAGCCCAGUCGGCCAGUGCGGUGGCUCCCGUCUGCAACCCCGGCUCGUGGGGGGGCGGGGGGCGGAGGCUGCAGUGAGCCGUGACCCGAUGACGUUAACGGCCCCAGAUGUGUUUGGGGAAAAGUAACCUGGGUCUCCUCGCCGUGAUCACUUCCCAAGUCGCAUGUCCUGCCCACCAAGGGACAGUCGAGGCCCAGUGUGCCACCUCCGUCCGUGCCUCUCCGCCAGCCGGGACGAGGAGGACCUGCUCCCUGAGGUGGAGACGGCCCGCUGCCACCGCGCACGCGGGCACCACGGCGCACAGAACACCACCAGCAGCACUUGGAAACUGGGUUUCCGACCUUGCACACGAGUCAGGUGAGCUCACCACGGGAGCCCUGGAUGACCGUCUGACCCCGGAGCCUCCCACACCCACCCCUGCCCCGUCCAGCCCCCGAGUGGAGAAGUGCCCAGUGCUGGGCGAGAGAACACAUCCGGCACCACGGGCUGGUGUGAGGGGCUGCGGGGAGCUCAUGCCCACCACAAGGAGGGCGCAGGCACUGGGCAAGCGAAGAGCCGACGUUUGCCGAAUGGGCGUGUCGGGUAUUUUGCGCUGGAUACUCCCAUGGCAAGUGCAGUUGACUUUGCUCUAGAGAGGAAGGAGCAGGGCGAGGGCAGUCCAAUGGGACACCCAUCUGGACGGUGGCCGCGCGGGAAGCCACCUUAGCAUCACCCAGUGGAGCCCUCUGUACGGAAGGGGAAACUGAGUCCUGGGGAGCCAAGUGCCUCGUGUGGGGCUGAGAGGAAGGCUGAGGUUGGCCCUGGGGUGAAAGGUCUAUUUCCAACGCCGCCCGACCUGCAGGCUGACUCGGGAGAUCAGACGCACACCCCAGCCCCCCGACACCCACAAACCGCCUGCUCGGGCAUGUCUGGGGCAACACGGCCACAGGACAGGGUCCUGGCCAAGUGCACGAGCUCAAACAGCCCCGCAACAGCCCGGAGCAACUCGGGGAAAGUCCCUGCCGCGGGUUUACGCGAGGAGCCGUCUAAUUGAGAGCUGAGCGGCCGCAUCACUGCUGUAAUUGGCCAGGAAACGCGCCUCAUGAAAGCAUGUUCUGUUUGAACUGUGCCUUAUUCCGAAAGAAUUUCAUUAAAGCAAUUAUAUUUUAAUAAA